ACCUACGGGGGGCAGCAGUUGGGAAUCUUGCGCAAUGGGGGAAACCCUGACGCAGCGACGCCGCGUGCGGGAUGACGGCCUUCGGGUUGUAAACCGCUUUUCCUUGGGACGAUGAUGACGGUACCAGGGGAAGAAGCCCCGGCUAACUCCGUGCCAGCAGCCGCGGUAAGACGGAGGGGGCGAGCGUUGUCCGGAAUUACUGGGCGUAAAGCGCACGUAGGCGGACGUGUACGGCGGUGGUGAAAGCUCCCGGCUCAACUGGGAGAGGCCCGUCGCAACGGCGCGUCUCGAGGGUGGUAGAGGCGGAUGGAAUUCCUGGUGUAGCGGUGAAAUGCGUAGAGAUCAGGAGGAACACCCGUGGCGAAGGCGGUCCGCUGGGCCAUGCCUGACGCUGAGGUGCGAAAGCCAGGGGAGCGAACGGGAUUAGAAACCCCUGUAGUCCG
RNAcentral lists this ribosomal RNA (443 nucleotides) under uncultured bacterium. RNAcentral describes it as "bacterial SSU rRNA". It matches the Rfam family "Bacterial small subunit ribosomal RNA", at positions 337 to 797 of the family's 1533-position model. The record is from RNAcentral.